AGAGUUUGAUCAUGGCUCAGAUUGAACGCUGGCGGCAUGCUUUACACAUGCAAGUCGAGCGGCAGCGCGGGGGCAACCCUGGCGGCGAGCGGCGAACGGGUGAGGAAUCCAUCGGAACGUACCCCGGAGUGGGGGAUAACGCCGCGAAAGCGGCGCUAAUACCGCAUAUGCUCUGCGGAGGAAAGUGGGGGAUCGCAAGACCUCAUGCUCGUGGAGCGGCCGAUAUCUGAUUAGCUAGUUGGUAGGGUAAAAGCCUACCAAGGCAUCGAUCAGUAGCUGGUCUGAGAGGACGACCAGCCACACUGGGACUGAGACACGGCCCAGACUCCUACGGGAGGCAGCAGUGGGGAAUUUUGGACAAUGGGCGCAAGCCUGAUCCAGCAAUGCCGCGUGAGUGAAGAAGGCCUUCGGGUUGUAAAGCUCUUUUGUCAGGGAAGAAACGAUCCGAUCUAAUACAUUGGGUUAAUGACGGUACCUGAAGAAUAAGCACCGGCUAACUACGUGCCAGCAGCCGCGGUAAUACGUAGGGUGCAAGCGUUAAUCGGAAUUACUGGGCGUAAAGCGUGCGCAGGCGGUUAUGUAAGACAGAUGUGAAAUGCCCGGGCUUAACCUGGGAACUGCAUUUGUGACUGCAUGGCUAGAGUGUGUCAGAGGGGGGUAGAAUUCCACGUAGCAGUGAAAUGCGUAGAUAUGUGGAGGAAUACCGAUGGCGAAGGCAGCCCCCUGGGAUAACACUGACGCUCAUGCACGAAAGCGUGGGGAGCAAACAGGAUUAGAUACCCUAGUAGUCC
This 791-nucleotide ribosomal RNA is filed under the name uncultured bacterium. Its description in RNAcentral is "bacterial SSU rRNA". It matches the Rfam family "Bacterial small subunit ribosomal RNA", at positions 8 to 796 of the family's 1533-position model. The record is from RNAcentral.